CCAUCCUCGAUGGCUUGUUAAUAUUGCCGUGUUAUGGAUCAAUGACAACUGAUCAACAGAGGAGGAUAUUUUUGCCACCGCCACCUGGAAUUAGAAAAUGUGUCAUAUCCACCAAUAUUUCUGCAACGUCUUUGACAAUAGAUGGAACCAGAUAUGUGGUAGAUGGUGGCUUUGUGAAGCAGUUAAAUCACAACCCCAGAUUAGGGUUGGACAUCCUGGAGGUGGUUCCAAUUUCAAAGAGCGAGGCAUUACAGCGAAGUGGCCGAGCUGGCAGGACUUCUUCAGGAAAA
Molecule: long non-coding RNA, 290 nt
Filed under: Homo sapiens (human)
Lineage: Eukaryota; Metazoa; Chordata; Mammalia; Primates; Hominidae
Description: non-protein coding lnc-RNFT1-2:3
Source: RNAcentral